AGCAGCCGCGGUAAUUCCAGCUCCAAUAGCGUAUAUUAAAGUUGUUGCAGUUAAAAAGCUCGUAGUUGAAUUUCGGGAUUGACGUGAUGGUCGUGCCUUAAGGGGUAUGAACUGUCGCAGUUGAUUUCUCACCUUCUGGAGAAGCAUGAUGUCCUUAAUUGGGUGUCAUGUGGAACCAGGACCUUUACCUUGAAAAAAUUGAGUGUUUAAAGCAGGCAUUUUGCUCGAAUACAUUAGCAUGGAAUAAUAGAAUAGGACGGCAUGGUUCUAUUUUGUGGUUUCUAGGAUCACCGUAAUGAUUAAUAGGGAUAGUUGGGGGCAUUAGUAUUCAAUUGUCAGAGGUGAAAUUCUUGGAUUUAUUGAAGACUAACUACUGCGAAAGCAUUUGCCAAGGAUG
RNAcentral lists this ribosomal RNA (397 nucleotides) under uncultured Glomeromycotina. RNAcentral's name for it is "SSU rRNA". It matches the Rfam family "Eukaryotic small subunit ribosomal RNA", at positions 569 to 966 of the family's 1831-position model. Lineage: Eukaryota; Fungi; Glomeromycota. The record is from RNAcentral.